RNAcentral lists this long non-coding RNA (304 nucleotides) under Olea europaea subsp. europaea. Lineage: Eukaryota; Viridiplantae; Streptophyta; Magnoliopsida; Lamiales; Oleaceae. The record is from RNAcentral.
CGUGUAAUUUAUGUAGCUCUCAUUUUCGCAUGUAAUUUACAUGUUCUGUUCUCUCCCCCUCAUUCUAUGCAAACUUAUAUAAAUGUUUAGUUGUAGGCUUUACUACACGUGACUUUUUGUGCAUUGUAUAGUUCUUGCCCCCAUUAGAUUUCUGAUAUUUCUAUUGAUUUAUGUUGCAUGUUAAGAUAAUAUUUGUUUUUAGUUACUUUUCCCCUCUAUUCUUUUGUAAAAACUGCUUGAAUUUAAUUAGAAAGUUCAAUGGAAAGUGGCUGUGGUAGUUUGGCCUCCAUUAUGAUUUUCCAGU